This 497-nucleotide ribosomal RNA is filed under the name uncultured bacterium. Its description in RNAcentral is "partial 16S ribosomal RNA". It matches the Rfam family "Bacterial small subunit ribosomal RNA", at positions 28 to 507 of the family's 1533-position model. The record is from RNAcentral.
GAUGAACGCUGGCGGCGUGCCUAAUACAUGCAAGUAGAGCGAACAGGUGAGGAGCUUGCUCCUCUGACGUUAGCGGCGGACGGGUGAGUAACACGUGGAUAACCUGCCUAUAAGACUGGGAUAACUUCGGGAAACCGGAGCUAAUACCGGAUAAUAUAUUGAACCGCAUGGUUCAAUAGUGAAAGACGGAUUUGCUGUCCUUUAUGGAUGGAUCGCCGCCGCUUUAGCUGUGUGUUAAGGAAUCGGCCUACUAAGGCAAGGUUGAGUAGCCGACCUGAGAGGGCGAUCGCCCACACUGGAACGGGGACACGGUCCAGACUCCUACGGGAGGCAGCGGAGGGGAAUCUUGCGCAAUGGGCGAAAGCCUGACGGGGCAACGCCGCGUGAGGGAUGAAGGUCUUCGGAUCUUAAAACUCUGUUAUAAGGGAAGAACAAAGGGGUAAGUAACUAUGCACGUCGUGACGGUACCUAAUCAGAAAGCCACGGCUAACUACGUG